UAGGGAAUCUUCCGCAAUGGGCGAAAACCUGACGGAGCAACGCCGCGUGAGUGAUGAAGGUCUUCGGAUCGUAAAACUCUGUUAUUAGGGAAGAACAAAUGUGUAAGUAACUAUGCACGUCUUGACGGUACCUAAUCAGAAAGCCACGGCUAACUACGUGCCAGCAGCCGCGGUAAUACGUAGGUGGCAAGCGUUAUCCGGAAUUAUUGGGCGUAAAGCGCGCGUAGGCGGUUUUUUAAGUCUGAUGUGAAAGCCCACGGCUCAACCGUGGAGGGUCAUUGGAAACUGGAAAACUUGAGUGCAGAAGAGGAAAGUGGAAUUCCAUGUGUAGCGGUGAAAUGCGCAGAGAUAUGGAGGAACACCAGUGGCGAAGGCGACUUUCUGGUCUGUAACUGACGCUGAUGUGCGAAAGCGUGGGGAUCAAACAGG
This 429-nucleotide ribosomal RNA is filed under the name Actinomycetes bacterium. RNAcentral describes it as "Actinobacteria bacterium partial 16S ribosomal RNA". It matches the Rfam family "Bacterial small subunit ribosomal RNA", at positions 355 to 776 of the family's 1533-position model. The record is from RNAcentral. Lineage: Bacteria; Bacillati; Actinomycetota; Actinomycetes.